GAGCGGGUAGCUCAGUGGUAGAGCGCCCAGCCAGUAGGUGGUUGUACGAUGUUGAUGCGGUGAUGAUGUACGAAGCUGGUGGCUAGGAGGGCGCAAGUUCGACUCUUGUCUCGCUCA
Molecule: transfer RNA, 117 nt
Organism: Paraphaeosphaeria sporulosa
Lineage: Eukaryota; Fungi; Ascomycota; Dothideomycetes; Pleosporales; Didymosphaeriaceae
Rfam family: tRNA
About the family: Transfer RNA (tRNA) molecules are approximately 80 nucleotides in length. Their secondary structure includes four short double-helical elements and three loops (D, anti-codon, and T loops).
Source: Rfam